RNAcentral lists this transfer RNA (75 nucleotides) under Candidatus Blackburnbacteria bacterium. RNAcentral describes it as "tRNA-Ala". It matches the Rfam family "tRNA". From Rfam's summary of the family: Transfer RNA (tRNA) molecules are approximately 80 nucleotides in length. Their secondary structure includes four short double-helical elements and three loops (D, anti-codon, and T loops). Further hydrogen bonds mediate the characteristic L-shaped molecular structure. tRNAs have two regions of fundamental functional importance: the anti-codon, which is responsible for specific mRNA codon recognition, and the 3' end, to which the tRNAs corresponding amino acid is attached (by aminoacyl-tRNA synthetases). tRNAs cope with the degeneracy of the genetic code in two manners: having more than one tRNA (with a specific anti-codon) for a particular amino acid; and 'wobble' base-pairing, i.e. permitting non-standard base-pairing at the 3rd anti-codon position. The record is from RNAcentral. Lineage: Bacteria; Candidatus Blackburniibacteriota.
GGGCCAGUAGCUCAGCGGUAGAGCGUCCCGCUCGCAGCGGGAAAGUCAGGAGUUCAAAUCUCCUCUGGUCCACCA